UACGGAGGAUGCGAGCGUUAUCCGGAUUUAUUGGGUUUAAAGGGAGCGCAGACGGGAUGUUAAGUCAGCUGUGAAAGUUUGCGGCUCAACCGUAAAAUUGCAGUUGAUACUGGCGUCCUUGAGUGCGGUUGAGGUGUGCGGAAUUCGUGGUGUAGCGGUGAAAUGCUUAGAUAUCACGAAGAACCCCGAUUGCGAAGGCAGCACACUAAGCCGUAACUGACGUUCAUGCUCGAAAGUGUGGGUAUCAAACAGG
RNAcentral lists this ribosomal RNA (253 nucleotides) under Phocaeicola plebeius DSM 17135. Its description in RNAcentral is "partial 16S ribosomal RNA". It matches the Rfam family "Bacterial small subunit ribosomal RNA", at positions 524 to 776 of the family's 1533-position model. The record is from RNAcentral. Lineage: Bacteria; Pseudomonadati; Bacteroidota; Bacteroidia; Bacteroidales; Bacteroidaceae.